GAAAAAAUUAGCAAUUAUUUUGCUCGAUUCAGAGCUUAAUAAGUUAAAAGGAUGUCCCAUGUACCAUCAACCUCUCAACGAAGAAACUUUAGCUAAUUCUGAUCUUGAGAUCCUGGAUAAUCCAUCUGACGUGGUCGAAGAGAAACGUCCCGCCCCAAUCACUAUCAUUCCCACGGACCAAUGUGAAAUACUUGCCGGCCUCUGCAACUACAUCAUGUCGAUCAAUGAUGCUGGGUGUUUGGAAAAGGUAUGGGUCCGGAGCUCCACACCCGAUCCAAUGAGCUUAAGUCUUAAGAAACUUCAGUGCAUACUUAACAUGGAGCAGCCCAUGGACAAUGAUUGCUUCAACACCGCGGUGCUUAUGCUGGCAUGUGACGAGGGAGUAUUGUUCACAGACCCUCCUAUACACUACAUGGAUCUACGAUUUUGUGUAAGUUACCGUAACUCUUCAUUCUAGGUGCCAUUAGUAUCAACAUGUUGAAACAAUAUAUUUUUAUUUUACUUAGUCCAUGUUGCUAGAGUCAACACGAGGUCCGAAGUUUUGUGAGAAGAAUACUAUCCAGACAUUGGCAACAUUAUUUGAUAGCUGGCCUGGGAUGGAGACCGACAUCUCAUCUUGCAAUAAGAUUUAUCUUCCCUAUGCAUCCAUCGGCCGAUACAUCCUGUACAUCAUCAACAAAGAGGCACGUCGUCUAUAUAUUAUGGAUCCUAUUCAAUCAUCACAAUCGUCAGAGGAUAAAAACUUGAGGCAUUCACUGAAAUUAAAAAGUUUUUCAAGGGAUUUCAAAGAAGCACUCGAAAUGAAACUGCCUGGGUGGA
Molecule: non-coding RNA, 819 nt
Organism: Triticum urartu
Lineage: Eukaryota; Viridiplantae; Streptophyta; Magnoliopsida; Poales; Poaceae
Source: RefSeq, a predicted model, not a curated record